RNAcentral lists this ribosomal RNA (300 nucleotides) under uncultured Sulfophobococcus sp. RNAcentral's name for it is "bacterial SSU rRNA". It matches the Rfam family "Bacterial small subunit ribosomal RNA", at positions 496 to 795 of the family's 1533-position model. The record is from RNAcentral. Lineage: Archaea; Thermoproteati; Thermoproteota; Thermoprotei; Desulfurococcales; Desulfurococcaceae.
GCUAAGGCCGGGGCAGCAGCCGGGGUAAGAGGAACCGGGUGAAGGUGAUGCGGAAUUACUGGGCUUAAAGGUGGCGGAGGCGGGCUCGCCAGUCAGGGGUGAAAGCGCACGGCUCAACCGUGGAAGUGCCUUUGAUACUGCGGGCCUCGAGGGAGGUAGGGGCGUGCGGAACUUCCGGUGGAGCGGUGAAAUGCGUAGAUAUCGGAAGGAACACCGGUGGCGAAAGCGGCGCGCUGGACCUCUUCUGACGCUGAGGCGCGAAAGCCAGGGGAGCAAACGGGAUUAGAUACCCCGGUAGUC